AGAUAUGAUCACAAUACCAGCAAAUGAAAUUUGUAUUCUUACUGUGGCUGUAUUUGUCUUUCUAUAUCAGGUGCAAAUUAUAGCUGAGAUUUUCUCCAAGUCGUUUAAAGAAGUACACUCUUCACUCCUGUUAGACAGCAGCAGUAUGGGAAUGCCUACAUUCUCCAGACGUGAUUCACGUGAGAUGCAAGAUGAAAACGUUAUCUCUACAGCAUGUCUUUGUUUAUUCUUUUUCCCAAAAUUGCCAGACUUCCUAGCACAAUGUACAUACAAGUUUUGAUCAGAAGGUUUUAGAGGUAAAGGAAAACACAGGACUUGAAGAUAACAGCUUCAAGCUUCAAGAUAACAGAAGAUAACAACCUUCAUUUUGGAAUGUAUUCUGAUUCUAUUGCUGACUUUGAAGGCCAUGCAUUUUGGUGUUUAAAUAUGUCUAAUAUAGAUACAACUCCAGGGAGGCUUCUGUGAAGGGAAGCCGUCAUAGCACACUGGCAGCUGGCAGCAGUGCUGGCAGAGCCCAAGAGCUCUGUCCCUGUCAGUUCAGCCAGGUACAGGACAUAAUACCACUGAAAAUAACUUAGCCUAGGUUUGUUAUCACAAGAAGGCUUUUGAAUGACAUUAAAGUUGGAAAAGGAAAUAAUAUACACUUGGAAAACUCACUCAUUUACAUAUGUAAUCAAAUGUUCAGUGAGGCUUGCAUAAGUCUCUAGUUUGAGUGAUGGACCCUUGAAAUA
Molecule: long non-coding RNA, 731 nt
Filed under: Anas platyrhynchos platyrhynchos (common mallard)
Lineage: Eukaryota; Metazoa; Chordata; Aves; Anseriformes; Anatidae
Description: lncRNA (ENSAPLG00000016803.1)
Source: RNAcentral